This 30-nucleotide non-coding RNA is filed under the name Mus musculus (house mouse). Lineage: Eukaryota; Metazoa; Chordata; Mammalia; Rodentia; Muridae. The record is from RNAcentral.
UCCGAGUCUAAAUCGCUCUUAGUGAUGUCA